GUGGCAGUUUUACCAUUUAUUGGGUUAUGUCAACCCAUGCUGGGUUAUUUAUCAUAACCCAGCCACAGGGUUGGUGGUUUAGAACUCAAUCUCCAACAGAUGUAGGGCAUUCUACCCACUAGAUGGGUCACUUAACUACUGGCAGCCCAAGUACUGGGUGAACUCAUUGAGCAGCCCAUCCCCCACCCCUGCCUGAAUGUGCAACUCCAGCCAGAUCUUCAACCGUCACUUUUUCUAUCAUGAAUCUGACUGCAAGCUGUGUGCUGUAGCCGUCAUCAUAUUCAAGGUGGUGUGAGGACUGCUGCCCUGAGACCGCUGUGUGCAUUUUGGAAUGUUCCAAAUGUGUGUUACGUCCAUACAGAAGAAAUUCCAAGCCUGCAAUGGGCUCUAUCAACUGUCCAGGGCAAAGUCGGUCUACUCUGAUGGCACUACCUGUUACCCUGACCUCAACGUAGUGGGUGUGGACUACAGGAGCCCUGAUGUCAAGAAUUAAUAUAGACGGUGAUGGUGGCAAGGGUGCCUCCAUAAGGUGCCAGAAUUCCCAGCCUGGAGCCAGAGGCUGCUAUUGCAAGUCAGAUGGGGGAUGAUCUAUGUUAGGCGUCAGAAAGGUGGUGUACGCAGGAAGGCAAGGCAAAGAUGUGAUUAGACUUCCUUCAAUAAGACAGGGCAACAGACACAUGACAGAAAGUGACUGGGAGAGAGAGACUUUGAAUGGACUGGCCUGAAACUGAACUGGGUUUCCAAGUUUAUGGUUGAGUUUAAAUGUUAAUGCUAUUAUCAACUGUACUUUUAUCAAAUUGCUCAUGUAUGAUGACUGGA
Sardina pilchardus (European sardine) is the source of this 819-nucleotide long non-coding RNA. RefSeq lists it as uncharacterized. The transcript has 6 exons. The record is from RefSeq and is a predicted model, not a curated record. Lineage: Eukaryota; Metazoa; Chordata; Actinopteri; Clupeiformes; Clupeidae.